CAGCAGCCGCGGGAAUACGUAGGUGGCAAGCGUUGUCCGGAUUUAUUGGGCGUAAAGCGAGCGCAGGCGGUCAAUUAAGUCUGAUGUGAAAGCCCCCGACUCAACCGGGGAGGGUCAUUGGAAACUGGUUGACUUGAGUGCAGAAGAGGAGAGUGGAAUUCCAUGUGUAGCGGUGAAAUGCGUAGAUAUAUGGAGGAACACCAGUGGCGAAGGCGACUCUCUGGUCUGUAACUGACGCUGAGGCUCGAAAGCGUGGGUAGCAAACAGGAUUAGAUACCCCUGUAGUCCCUGUCUCUUAUAC
Molecule: ribosomal RNA, 301 nt
Filed under: uncultured bacterium
Lineage: Bacteria
Description: partial 16S ribosomal RNA
Rfam family: Bacterial small subunit ribosomal RNA
Source: RNAcentral